GUUCUGCUGAGACCUGCAGGGAUGAGGCAAAAUCUCUGUGGGUGAAGAAUCUUCCUAAGGGUGAGGCCAUUCACCCAGAUAAAGACCGGACUCCUCAGACAGGAAACAGGAAGUGGAGACUGGGCUAGCUGGAAGAGACAUUGCAGGCUCCUUUUCCUUGGUCUUUGCUUCAAGAAACCUAAAUGCCUAUGAGUUCACUCCUGAGCAUUGUUGGUUAAAGAUGAUCAUGGUCGUUGGGCAAAACCCGGGCUCUGGACAGAAGGAGACCCCUGAGGGGCAUCACAGGCUAAAGAAAACGCUAAUUGAGGAGGAGAUCACUGAGGAGCUGAGAAGCCUCCAAUCCAUCUGAAGCUGUCCACAGGGCGCAAGCUGGUGAAACCAUAGAAAUACAAAAGGCUCCAAAACAUGUUAAAACACAGCACCGCUGACGUGCAGAAGGGUAUGAAAUGGCCCAGAGGAGGUUCCGAGGUUUGCAGAGGUGUCUUGAAGAUAAAUGCAAUCAUUUGCGUGAUUAUAU
This 517-nucleotide long non-coding RNA is filed under the name Equus asinus (donkey). RNAcentral's name for it is "lncRNA (ENSEASG00005031645.1)". Lineage: Eukaryota; Metazoa; Chordata; Mammalia; Perissodactyla; Equidae. The record is from RNAcentral.